CCCUGUAUCGAAAGUGAUUAUGGCGUCCGUGUCGCCAGGUCAUUGAUUGUACAGGAACAUCAAACUGAGAGCAUUUCCCGUGUUUGAAGGACGAUCAGUUCCUUUUGAACCCUGACGCUCACAGACA
Molecule: small nucleolar RNA, 127 nt
Organism: Platichthys flesus (European flounder)
Lineage: Eukaryota; Metazoa; Chordata; Actinopteri; Pleuronectiformes; Pleuronectidae
Product: small nucleolar RNA SNORA71
Exons: 1
Source: RefSeq, a predicted model, not a curated record